GAGUUGGAAAUACCCGAAGCCUGUGAGCUAACUUAAAGAGGCAGCAGUCGAAGGUAGAGCCCAAUGAUUGGGGUGAAGUCGUAACAAGGUACC
Molecule: ribosomal RNA, 93 nt
Filed under: uncultured bacterium
Lineage: Bacteria
Description: partial 16S ribosomal RNA
Source: RNAcentral